RNAcentral lists this non-coding RNA (24 nucleotides) under Arabidopsis thaliana (thale cress). Lineage: Eukaryota; Viridiplantae; Streptophyta; Magnoliopsida; Brassicales; Brassicaceae. The record is from RNAcentral.
ACAGUAGAAGCCAGUUGUUCUCCA